This 8746-nucleotide long non-coding RNA is filed under the name Trifolium pratense (red clover). RNAcentral's name for it is "long non-coding RNA (TPRA_LNC000462)". The stretch from base 3877 to 3948 matches the Rfam family "tRNA". The record is from RNAcentral. Lineage: Eukaryota; Viridiplantae; Streptophyta; Magnoliopsida; Fabales; Fabaceae.
AGUUCUGUAGUGUUUUUGGGCCGCUACAAAAAGGAGAAUAGACGGAGGAUGGUUGUGAGACUUUUAGCCUGUAGUGUAUAUGUUUAUGGUAAUAGUCUAACUAGUUUUUUCAACACACUCUUGACUCUUCAACAUGAUUAUUCACUAUUGCAAUUAUGUUCGGUUUUCAAUUCUAAAAUUGAUCAUGUCUUUUGAAAACGAUUCUACCUGAAGCCAAAAUUUAUAGUUUUCAUGUAUAAUUCCAAAUUAUUUCUCCAUUCAUUGUUGGUUGAUAGUUACAAAAGUCCUUUUAUUCCUUCAUUGCUCUUAAUAAUUUAUAGUUGGUUGAUAGUUUGAUGGCUACAGAGCUAUUGAGUCUAGAGAAAGUGCAUUGUUUAUAUUGGCUAAGGGGAUUAUAGAAGGUCAGUAUAUAUUUAAUCUUAGAUGAGGUAAAGACCAAAAACACUCUGAAUAAUAGUACAAAUGUAUGAACCUGAGAAAACUGUUACUAAAGCUAAGUGGGAUGAGAAAGUUGAAACCUUUAAGAAAUGGGGUUUGUCUGAUGAACAUAUUCUUCAAGCAUUUAAGAAGCAGCCUUUUUGUAUGCUAUCAUCACCUCGUAAAAUGAAUGCAAUCGUGAAUUUUUGGGUUAAUCACUUAGGUUUGGAUUCUUUGGAUCUCGCUAGAGCUCCUGGAAUUUUGCAGUUGAACUUGAAUCUUGAGAAGAGGAUUAUUCCUAGAGGUUUAGUUGUCUAGUUUCUUAUCUCAAAAGGCCUUCGACGAAAGGAUGCAAGUAUAUACACACCAUUUGUUGUAUCUGAGAAGUUGUUUGUGGAAAAGUUUGUGAACCGUUUUGCGGAGCAUUCUUCUGAUCUGUUAAAGCUUUACGAGGAAAAAAUGAAUCUUGCAGAUAGCAGGAACGACCUUCAGAUGGUUGAUCAAAUUUUGGUUUUAUGUAACUGACUUGUUUUAUUCUGUUGAAAUAUUUGCCUUGUGAUGAUGUCCGUGUCAAUAGUUUGAUUAACGAUCAUGCUAGUUAGUUUUCAGCAAAUAUUAUUCCUUAUGAAUUAUGAAAUUUCCCUUUCCCGCAGAAUUUUGACAUAUGUUUUAAGAACAGUAGCUUAGGUAAACUCUCCUCACAUUGUUGAUCUAGCGUCUUCAAGUAGAAGUUUGUGAAAUGUUUGAAUGUGAAAAAAUUGAAUCUUACGAGUUACGAUUGCAAAUUACAGGGACGUGUUGUGUGUGAUUUUGGCCAAUUAUGUAUCAAAUUUUGUUGACUCAACAUUCUUAUCAUGUUUUCUCAUUCUUUUGAAAUGCUAGUCCUGUCUACAUCAGGACACUUCAAAUGGUCUUGUUUGUGGUGGUCACAUAUCAGUUUUGUAAGGAGGAUUUUUUUACAUCCCUAUUGUGUUUAAUACUUUAAUUUGAUAAUCUAUUGAGUAAAUUAUGCUUUCCUAGGAAAGACACUUACACCCUACUAGGAGACCAACCUUGUGAACUGAGCCAUUGACAUCACAUUUAUCCCUCCCAAUGAAAAUGGAAAUGCCGUCACACAGCCCUGUAAGCAUGAAAUAAGAAAAGCAUUGUGGGUUGCCUCCACAGCCCUGUCGUGUCUGGAGUCAAGUCUGCUUGAGAACAUCAUCACUCACCUGAAGUUGCAUUGUUCUUAAACAAGGUUUUGUUAAGGUGGAUUUAUAAAAUAUUAAGAUCCAUGAUAUGCUUGUUUUUGAGUAAACGAUGUCGAAACUUUGUGGAAAUCAAUUGUUUCAGCAGUUGCUUCUCAGAGAUCUUGUAAGAAUGUUUUUUCAAUGACUGCUGAUGUACACAACAUUCAGUAUUUAAAUAUAUUGUCCCUGGAAGGUAGAGGCUAUCUUUAAACUUAAGUCUGUGUUUGUUAAUGUUUGGUUUGGCGUUGAAUGGAUCACAUUGACCUCUACUAGGCAUCCCGGCUAAACAACACCAGGUAAUGGCGGUGUCGUAAUUUGGAAGUUGAAAGCAUUAAAUGCAAAUUUUAUUUUUCAGCAACUCUAUUGGACAACUUAAACCCUGCCUCUCCUGUCUUCAACUUGUUAUUCCUUCUUUGGCAUUUAUGAUCCAUCUGUUUGUGGAAAUGAUUUUUAUCUUCUUUCGCCAUUAGUGUUAAGUUGCCAAGUGCUCUUUCAAUUUGUUAUAAUGGUUAUGUGCCCAUCUUCUUAGAACAAUCUUAAUGGUGGCUCGUCUUUUCCUUUCACCUAGUACCAUUCUUUCAAUUUCCCUCAUAUGUUAUUUCACGGAAUGAUUACUCGAUCCUUUUCUCUUGUUGAUGACUAGUAGGUAAACAGACAUGGAUUAAAUAGUUAAAGUGCUAGUUUCCUUUCUAACGUUUUGCCCAAUUUUAUCAUUGAUACUCUUAGUACUUAGGGCUGCAAUUUAGGGAGUAACAUUCUUAUCUUGCAAUAUUGAUCAAUCUCAAAUGCUUUUGAAAUUGGGAGAUUAUUCUUUUGUUGAUAAUACAGACAUCUGAUAUAAUUUUUGUCUCAUUGAUUAUCUUGUAGAAACAUUUUCUGUGUAUUGAUUAUUUUACUGAUUGUCAGUGUCAACUUAAUGGGGUUAAUAUGGCCAAAUUGUGGUUAAUUUUACAUGAUGGUGUUAUAACUAUAUAGUGCAAUUGUAUGCUGAUACAACAAUAUUAAUGUUUGAGAUUAGGAUAUGUGGAGACUAAUCCCAAGAUAUGUAGUAAUAUGUAGUGGUCUGCUUCCCAACAUAUGCAGUAGUAUAGCUUUUCUAGAAAUGAAAUGUCACUCAAUAUAAGAAGUAACUACUAACUAUGACACACAUGGCUUCUAGGACAUGCACACAUUAACCUGGAGACAAAAUACUCAUUAACAAUCAAGUUUAUGUGAUGUGCAACCUUUUCUUCUAGGAUAUGCACACACUAUUGCUUUUGUGAAAGUAUAUGAAUGUAGGAAAUAUGGCUUAAGGAGACCUGUGCAAAGGGUUACCAGAUUUUGUUGUUUAUUUUCUUUUAGCUUCAUCCUCUGACAAUCGUUCUUAUGUUGCUUCUAUUGACAUUCUGUUAGCUCGGAGAGUCGUAUAAAUAUUUCGUAUAUCAUGAAUACUGGGGCUAGCAGGCUAGGAUCCCAAAUUCCUAAUUUCAAGCUCGGAGAGUCCUAUAAAUAUCUCUUAUGAAUUAAUAAAAUGAUAUGAUUUCAAUCUGAUCACAAUAGUCAGGACCAUUGAUCGUUUAGUCACUUGUCUAGUUUUACUUGCACUCUUGUUUUGCACAAUCUGAUCACAACAGUGCGGUGUUUCCCACUAUCAUUAUUAGAAUGUUUUGCAAAUUUCCUACUGUGUUCUGCUCUUUUCACUUGGGAAAGGCUAUGGAUGAAGUAAAAUAAACUGGCAUUGAUCAUUUUGAAAUCAAUGUUAAGUGCAGCAUUGCAUGCUAGCCAGAAGGAUUGCAGCUAGUUCAAUGGUCUCGUUUCAUUUGCUAAUUCGGAACUUAUUUUGAUUGUUGUAUUGUACACAUUCAUCUUUUACCUUUUUUAUCUGUUUCUUUCACUGCAUGCACAAAUUCUUUUCUUUGAAGAAUGAAGUGGUAGGAGGAUUCCUGUCACAAUGAGGUUCUCUGAGUGCCAUUAUAUCAUGUCAUAUAUACUCAGAAAUUAUGGUUUCAAAUUACAGUACUUGAAAUUUCUAAAAUCUUUGCUGUUUUAACUUUGUGAUGGAUUUGGUUACAUGGUUACUGCAUAAGUUUAAGCUCUACUGGUUAUUUUAUUUAAAGGCAAGAUAAGUGAUAAACAUUACUUCAUGCUUCUCUGAUGUAGAAUAACUGAAUACGCGGAAAUAAAUUUACAAUACGCGCCAGGGAAAUAAUAUAUAUGAUAUAAAGAAGCUGAACAAAACAAGUAACAACAAGUCGUUGUAGUAUAGUGGUAAGUAUUCCCGCCUGUCACGCGGGUGACCCGGGUUCGAUCCCCGGCAACGGCGAUUUUUUCAAUUUUAACAAUUUUAACAAUUUUAAUAAUAUAUAUGAUAUAAAGAAGUUGAAUAAAACUGUUUUCUAUGUUACCAAUUUAUAUGUAGCCUAGACCCCAUAUUAUGUCUGCAAUAUCUUAUGGUACAUGUUAUAUCAAAAAUUGAACUGAAAUCGAUAUGAAUCUUUUUGUGUGUAUAUUUGGGACAUGAAUCUCGUCUUUAAUCUCAAUUCGUUGUAAAGAAUCACAACCUGAACUUAGUGUAAUAAGCCACUUUUUUUUUUGCCAAUUUUGUUUAGCCAAUCACUUUUCUAUUUACAAUUUGAAUCUUUGAAUCAUUUUGAGAUUUUCUAAAGAUAUAUCAGGCCCAGCUUAUAGUUUUUCUAUUUCACUUGAUUUUACUUAAAAAUAUCAUAUUUUUAUUGAUAAUGUAUCAUACGAUUCAUAAUAAGAUUCGAUUCACGAUUUGAAAAAUAGGUCUUUGAAAUUCAUGGUUUGAUCUUUGAAUCUUGAUUUGAUAACUAUAAUCAACAUGAUUUUUUUAAUAAACCAAAUGGAGAAACCAAAUAUGUGUGGUAUAUUCUCAUAGAAUCCAUGUCUUUAUUAGAUACCUGACACAACAUCGAAAUGUAUUCGGUACAUAAUUGACUAUGUGAUCCUUCCUUUUCAGAUAUGAUGCACCUGCAGAGCAGUAGAUCAUGAGCAUACAAAGUCUAUCCGCAUCAGCUGUGUGAAUUGCAAGUUGCAACUGCACUUUCCUCAGUCCUAUGGCACUAAUGGCAGGUUCAACAUUUCUUAUUACUAGAAUUUCUUAUAUGUCAUCUCAAUGGCAAGAAGACAGAAUAACAAAUUCAGUUCAACAGAAAACAGAUAAAAGAAACUCACAUAAGAACAUAAUCGGUUGAUCAUAGAAUUUGACCAAUUGUACUUAUGAUUUCGACACAAAGUGGCUGCUGUGAUUUUCGAUUAUUCAAAACUAUACUCACAGGUUACAACUCGAGGUUAAAUAUCCUGAGCUUCUUGUCUCAAACCCCACGGUUUCUUCAUUCAAAACAUCCAAUCCAUGAUUCUCAAAGAUCCUGAACUUCUUGUCUCAAAUCCCAUCAAAUCAAUUCUACCAGAGUUUCAAUUUUUAGCUUCCAAAGGUGCUUCUCCUUCUGACAUUGUUGCCACUGUAACAAGAUGCCCUCGUUUUCUUCGUGUAAGUCUCGACAAACACAUUGUCCCUGCUUUUGGUUUGGUACGAAGUUUCUGUCCCUCUAAUAAAGAAGCUAUUGAUUCUAUAAUUGCUUGUCCUACUUCUAUUAGUGAUGUUAGAAUGAAACCAAAUGUGAAAUUUUUGAUUGAUUUUGGUCUCACCGGUUCAAAUAAUAUGUUCUCCUGAUUUUCUUAGGACUAGACCUUCUAUAAUAUGUUCUACUGAUUUGAAAAAUGUGGUUGAGGAGAUUAAGGGAUUAGGGUUUGACCCUUCAAAAGUUUUUUUAGUGUGGCUUUAUUGGCCUAAAGGGCUAUCACCAAAUCACAAUGGGAUGCUAAAGUUGAUGUCUUGAAGAGUUGGGGUUAUUCUGAAGAUGAAAUUUUUAAUGCAUUUAAGAGGCACCCUAAUUUUAUGCUACAGUCUUUGGAUAAACUCAAUGCGGUUAUGAGUUUUUGGGUCGAUGGGCUUGGUUGGGAUCCUUCGGUGCUAUUGGCUAAACCGGUACUUUUUGGGUUUAGUAUAGAGAAAAGGCUUAGUCCAAGGGCUUCAAUUGUCAAGUAUCUUCUAUCCAAAGGUUUGUUAAAGGAGGGUGCUUGUUUACGUACACCAUUUAACUUGAAUGACAAGGAUUUUCAGCGAAGGUAUGUGAAAUGUUUUGCGCUGGAUACAUCUAGGCUAUUAAAGGUAAAUAAGGGAGAAUGCUAGCAUUUUGUGCUUUGUUAAGUUAUGAAUAUACAUAUAUAUUGGCGUCACUGCAAAACUAGCCAUAUUAUGUUUCUUCAUGUAUUGUCAUUCUAGUUGCAGUUUUCUGACAUGUAGGUUACAGUUACAAUUCAAAUUUUGGAAACAGGCUCUCUGGUUGGGUGGAUUGUAGUUUGAUUGUAUUUUUUUCAUUUGCUCAUUUUUAACUUGGAAUCUUCUUCAGCUUAAGUUACAAUUCUGGCCUAUAUUUUAUAAAUAAAAUUGAUCCAAGAGAACCAUUAGUUUUGUGGUUAGAAAAUAUGAUUGUGAUUGUUUUAUUCAACAUGCAUUCUUUUUUGAAUCUGAAAGAUAUGUAUGAAAAGUGUAACAUAUCCGUAGGAAUUAUGUGAUGAGAACAAUGCUUGAACACCGGUGGGAUUGGAGGGCAAGAAAGAACGUAAACACAUAAAAAACUAAUUUCCCUUACAUCGGCAACUUAAUUAAGCUAAAGUAUUAGAAAUGCUUGUCUGGCCUAUGAGUAUCUCAUUUACUCUGUCUUUUAUCUUGCCAAGUUAUCGUUGUCUGUUGCUACUUGCUGCUACUAUAUGAAUUUGAAGAGAGUUUAUUCUUCUUACAUGACAACUGGUUUUUUGAUUUUUUGUGCGUGGAAGAACAGUAUAAUGCAUAUCAUGCUUUUUUCACGGAAUCUAUUGCCUGGAAAUUAUAUGGUUUGAACACAUGUGCAUACACAUAUUUGGCCAUAUAGCUUUUUGUUUGGUACUGAAUGUCGGGCUAUGAAGCUUGAAGAGCCUAUGAUGUUAAUAGCAGCGACGCUAUAGAGGUAUACUGGAGAGUGACCCCCUUCUCCGCUACGCCAGAGGGCCGCAAACCACUAUUUAGAGAAGCAGCCAUGGCGGCCGUGAAUAGCGGCAUGAUAGCAGUUCGGUUGCGUUUUUGGGCCGCUACAAAAAGGAGAAUAGACGGAGGAUGGUUGUGAAACUUUUAGCCUGAAGUGUAUAUGUUAUGGUGAUGGUCUAACUGUUUUCAACAGACUUUUGACUCUUCAANNNNNNNNNNNNNNNNNNNNNNNNNNNNNNNNNNNNNNNNNNNNNNNNNNNNNNNNNNNNNNNNNNNNNNNNNNNNNNNNNNNNNNNNNNNNNNNNNNNNNNAAAAAAAAGUGAUUUUUGAGUUUUUAUAGAGCAAAAAAAACAUAUUUAACCCAAUUAUUAUAAUUUAAUCCCAUAACAUGCUUCCUUUGGUCACUCUCUUCUUCUUCACUUGGAUUUUGAGUUAACCUAUCUAUCAUGCUAAAAUUCUUCACCACCACCGCACUUGUUCCCACCAAGAACAACAUUUUGCUCCUAUUCACAACACCAUCUUCAAAACAUCACUACCCAUCAAUUUUCAAAUUCUUCACCACUUCAACCACCACCAUCGACCCACAAUCUUUCACCGUCUCUUACCUCAUCAACAACAUCGGUUUCACCCCACAAACCGCUUCCAAAGCUUCCCAAUAUCUCUCUUUCUCCAACUCCCAAAAACCCGAUUCAGUUCUCACCUUUUUCACAACCCAUGGUUUCUCUAACUCUCAAAUACGAAGCAUCAUCAAAAGGGAACCCCAGUUACUCUCAUUCAAACCCAACACCAUUUUGUUACCAAAGUUUCAAUUUUUACUCUCCAAAGGUGUUUCUAACACUGAUCUUGUUCGUAUUGUUAAUUCUAACCCUAGAUUUCUUAGUAGAAGUUUACAGAAUCAUAUCAUUCCUACUUAUGAAUGUGCAAAAGGGUUUCUUCAAUCUGACAAAAAAAUUAUUGCUUGUGUUAAACGUUAUUGUUUUCUUUCUCAAUAUGAUUUGCCUAACAAGGUUAAAUUGUUGCUUGAUAAUGGAGUUUCUCAUUCAAAUAUUGCUAGAUUGUUUCAAUGGUGGCCUAGUAUAUUUGACUCAUCAGAUUUGUUAAACACUGUUGAGGAAUUGAAGCAGCUCGGUUUCGAUUCUAAAACUUCCACUUUUAGUAUAGCGUUUCUUGCUAAGAAAACUGUUACUAAAGCUAAGUGGGAUGAGAAAGUUGAAACCUUUAAGAAAUGGGGUUGGUCUGAUGAACAUAUUCUUCAAGCAUUUAAGAAGCAACCUUUUUGUAUGCUGUCAUCCCUUCGUAAAAUGAAUGCAAUCAUGAAUUUUUGGGUUAAUCACUUAGGUUUCAAUUCUUUGGACCUUGCUAGAUUUCCUGGAAUUUUGCAGUGCAGUCUUGAGAAGAGGAUUGUUCCUAGAGGUUUAGUUGUCCAGUUUCUUAUCUCAAAAGGCCUUCGACGAAAGGAUGCAAGUAUAUAUACACCAUUUGUUGGAUCUGAGAAGUUGUUUGUGGAAAAGUUUGUGAACCGUUUUGUGGAGCAUUCUUCUGAUCUGUUAAAGCUUUACGAGGGAAAAAUGAAUCUUGCAGAUAGCAGGAACGACCUUCAGAUGGUUGAUCAAAUUUUGGUUUGAUGUAACUGACUUGUUUUAUUCUGUUGAAAUAUUUGCCUUGUGAUGAUGUCUGUGUCAAUAGUUUGAUUAAUGAUCAUGCUAGUUAGUUUUCAGCAAAUAUUAUUCCUUAUGAAUUAUGAAAUUUCCUUUUCCCACAGAAUUUUGACAUAUGUUUUAAGAACAGUAGCUUAGGUAAACUCUCCUCACAUUGUUGAUCUAGCUUCUUCAACUAAAAUUUUGUGAAAUGUUUGAAUGUGAAAAAAUUGAAUCUUACUAUUGCAAAUAACAGAUUGCAAAUAACAGGGACGUGUCGUGUGUGAUUUUGGCCAAUUAUGUAUCAAAUUUUGUUGACUCAACAUUCUUAGCAUGUUUUCUCAUUAUUUUGAAAUCCUAGUCUUGUCUACAUCAGGACACUUCAAAUGGUCUUGUUUGUGGUCACGUAUCAGUUUUGUAAGGAGGCUUUUUUUCAC